This 64-nucleotide transfer RNA is filed under the name Bryanellocoris orientalis. RNAcentral describes it as "tRNA-Trp". The record is from RNAcentral. Lineage: Eukaryota; Metazoa; Arthropoda; Insecta; Hemiptera; Rhyparochromidae.
AAAGUUUUAAGUUAAAUAAAACUAUUAGCCUUCAAAGUUAAAAAUAUGAAUACCAUAAACUUUA